CAUUCAAAUUGUUCUCCCUGUGGCUUCCGUAUCGGGAGCUCCGCUUUUAUAUAUAUUAUCAUAUCGGUUAUCAAUGAUUUACGAGUAAGCUGUAGAAUGUAUUGAUAACGUACCAAAGUGGAGUAGAAUGAUGUGAUGGUCACCGAGGCUGUAGCAGACGUUAAUGGCUGUGGAUAGUUGGGUAAGUACUGAAACACUUUUGUUACUCACAUGCAUUUGGGAAGGUACCUUUUAUAAUGGGGGAGAGAGGGCUGCAGGAUUCGCAGUAAACCUUUUUUAGAUUGUAGCCCUCGCCUUUUUAUUCAGUAAGAAAUAUAUGACCCUCCUAUAGAGUUAACAAGGAAAAAUCUUUCGUCAGAAAAUAAAAAUGUUUGACAUGACAAAAACGUUAUUUUGUUUUACUAUUGACCCUCCCCUCUGAAGCCCAAGCCCUCCCCCAAUGAAAGAUGUAUCUUCAUUCGUUAAUCAGUUCGUUUUAUUUCGUGAACUGUCCAUUUAUUGGUGCAAGUCUUUCAUCUCCAGUCAUCUCAUUUAUCCUUCUUGUGUUAGUUGUCCAAUCGAUUCAUUCACUCAUUCAACGCACAGUGGAUCUAGCCCUCCAUCUCUUUCUUCUUUUCUUUUUUCUUUCACUCCCAUUCGUUCUUCUAUUAAUUUUUCAUUCAUUUAUUCAAUCGUUUGCUUUUUUAUUCACCCAUCCAUUUCUUAUUUCGCUUUGUUUUUGCAUUCUUUUCUUUUUCCACACAAGAGGCCCAUAAGUGCAAAGACAACAGUGAUGAACAACUAAAGUAAAGAUGAUGACGUCACAACAGUUGAAUUACGUCACUAAACUGUGCUCAGAAUAAUGCAGACAGACAGACAGACAGACAGAGCUAUAACUAAAUAAGUAUAUUCGAAUAGUUAGUUAAGUAGUCAGUCAUCAGUUAAUCUAUAAAUGUAUAUAUUACUGAAGUAUAUAAUUAGAGAUGUAAAUAUGAAUAUAAAUCAAUAACUACAAUUUUAUGUACCAAUGAAGACACAUAUAAAUACAAAAAUAAAUAUAA
Long non-coding RNA from Actinia tenebrosa (Australian red waratah sea anemone), 1040 nucleotides. The record is from RefSeq and is a predicted model, not a curated record. Lineage: Eukaryota; Metazoa; Cnidaria; Anthozoa; Actiniaria; Actiniidae.